CCAAAUCUCUCUCUUUCUCUCUAAUCAUCAAUUUCAAUCAUCCACACGCAUCCACACGUGCUGUGCGAGGUCAGAUAUUUCCAUCAGGGGAGCUACUGUGUUUGAUCUCCUGGCCUAAAAUCAGGCCAUUCCAUACCUCAGGCGGGCCAUAGAAAAUGGACGGACAGAAAAAAUUCUUUAAACUUUCUGGCGCAUGUUAGGUAUGAAAAUGCGUCCAUUUUUUCUUUUUAUGUACGCAUUAUUCCCAACCAGAUGGAAAGCUCAGAUCUCGCACACGUGUUCAACGUUUGCGGUGUGCCUGCUUGUGAAUCCUAUAUUGCUAUUUAUUUUGGAACAUGAAAAACCAUCUCUCUUAAAAAUAAAAAUUGAUAAUUAAUCAUUGAUAGGAGCGCAGAGAAUACGUUCGAGAGCAGUGUUCGAGUGGAUAAAGGGAAAUUACCUCGUGGGGUCAAGGUGGCCCCACCUAGGAUGAUGGUGAACCAUUGGAUGUAUUGGGCUCAAUUUGGAUUGUGCAUUGCUACAUUCUCACCCUGAUUGGAUGGUCUUAGAUAUGUAUGAGUUAAGGGCUGGAAUAUUGGAUGGUAAGACUAUUUGGGCAUGGCACAAGAGUCAUCCCAUUCAGAUUGAUCACAGCCAUCUGAUUAAGGGAAAGUUAGAUUUGUUUGUGUCCAAUUUCUUGGCACUUAAUGGGAUGGUUGUGAGCAUCCAAUCAGGGUGAUUCUAUGGCCAUGCAUAAUCCACAACGCUAUUGUUGUAAUUCCGAGCCUACAACAAACCCGGAUCAACCCUAGAUAUUAGAUAUUCAGAUAUAAUACUAUUGUCAAUCUUGCGCUUUGUGGAAGCACAUUCAAUGAAGAUAGAACAAUCAAACUAGAAUCCGCCUAUCAAGUAAGCACAAACACACGAUUUUAUGUGGAAAACGCUUUCGGGAAAAACCACGGCACAAAGCUAUAGAGAUUUCCACUAUAAUAGAAACCUUCGAGUUACACCAUUCUCCUUCUCCUUUUACAGAAGCAAUCCGAUCUCCCCUUGCAAUGCACACCCAUAGGAAAAACCCUAGCCCCUGAGAAAAAUCCAUUCCAAAGCCAUUACAAGUGUAGAAAACCCCCUCACAAUGUAAAACUCUUACCCUAUGAGAGAAAACACUCGUCCUCUUUAAGCCCUAAUCGAAUUAGGACUUAAAUAGCCCGACUUGCGGUAACAAAGUUGUUGACUAUUGGUCGGACCGAACUCACCUUCGGUCAGACCGACUUGGACCAACAGAGUCCUGCUCUACUCCUGACUUCUGACCAAGAAAUCCUACACUGUAGAUUGACAGAACCUUGCUUCGACUCCCAAACUAUGUAGAAUCCAAGGCAUCCACACAACAGCUAUGAUCAUAGGGAAAUAUAUGAAUUAAACAAGUCUGCAGCUGAAAUAGGAAACUCUUGCCUGAUUGAGCCGAAUCAUAAGACUGAAAGCAAAUACCUAGUGACGAAAAUGUUUUAUUGCCUGCUCGAGGUGUGGAUUGUUGCUUUCCUUGAGAUAGUUUGCUUCCCCAGGUAGAAAAUCUGGUAGACCAGUUUCUCUAAGUGCUAUCUCUCAGGAUACACAAUUGCCCAAUAUACAAUGCCUCAUGGUUUACACAGACCAAUUAUGCCCAAGACCAAUAUCCACCCAACAAUAUCCUUAUAUGUGCAGGAAAGAGGGGGAAAAAAAAAAAAAAAACUGGCGUCAAGGAGAUAGAAAGAAAAUGUUUUGCAACAACAUGAAAAACCACCAAUGACUUGUAUCAUUUGGAAAUAAACCAACACUGAUUGGGUUCUACUGAGGAAUUUUCAUCAUAAUACAAUCAGAAGAAUUCUUAUUGCAUCAUCGAGUAGCUCAAAACCCUGUUCUUAAAUGGAAAAUAACAGGUAACUUGCAUGGUUACAUUUCAUUGUUUGUUGGAUCUCCACCUUAAAUGGGGCCCAUCCAUGGUAUGCAGAACACUGGAGCACUUCUGGUGUGUCCCAACUGGAUGGCCCAUGGCACAAAAAUCCUGCAGAUCAUACAAUCUGGUGUGUCCUACCAUGUCUUUGAACUUAUGGUUGGGACUUGGGAGUUGAAGCUAUAAAAGGCUGACGGUUCAUGUUUAAUGAGAAAAUGUCAGCUAUAUGGCUGGGUAGGAUCAUUUGAUCAGUGGAAGCAAUGGGCUGUCCAUAGUGGGGCCCACUGAAGGAAUGUAUUAGAUCGCCUAAGGAUAGGGUCCAUGUAUGACAGACAUCUAUCUUGGACAGCUCCUCAUAGAUUUGGCCUGGCCCCCCAUGAUUAUGGGGAUCCUCCACCACUAACACUUGGAUCAUGACAGUCGUGAUUGGGCAGAAAAAUUGAAACUCAUUGCUCGAACUAACAUUUCUGCAAUCUCUUUUUCCUCUCUUGGAGGUACAUAUUAAAGCAUCUUUAAGGGUCAUUUACAUGAAAUGGAGGAUGAUGAGAGGUUGGUGGGCUUUCACCGAGUGUUGUUGGUAGAAAAUGGGAUACCUUUAAGGGUGCAUUAGGACACUAUCGAUUUGAACUGCGAUAACUAUUGUUACAAAUGGUGCAUUUGGAUGCACUAGAAUUGGAUUCCAAUUUCUUUAGUAUUCAUUACAAGGGCGUUGGUUCCAAAUUGCAGUUAUGUUCCGUUACGUUCUAGUUGGGCUCAAGAAUAAAUCAUGAUCAUCAUCAUCUAAACCUUAUCCUAACUAAUUGGGAUCGGCUACAUGAAGCCUUCUUGACUGUUCUACUCUAUCAAGGGCCAUAACUUCAGUCAGACCAUAGCCCAUAGGUCAGCGAGGCUUUUCUUACUGCCUCCACCCAAGUCCUUUUGGGCCUUCCCCUUACCCUUUUAGAGCCUUCAACUUGUACCAACUCACUUUAGAUAGUCCUAAAACAUCUUUUGCCACUUUUCUAAUGCACUCAGCCAUCUCAUUCCAUGUAACGUUUACUUCUUCCUUGACAUUCCAAGUUCAUUCUUUCAUCAAUUUAUUUCUGAAUAAUUUAAAUUCCACCACCUAGUUUUUGGACACCUAUUAAUUUCAUUCCUUUUCUUUCAUGUCUAAUGUAAACAUCUAUAACCAUUAACCUAUGUAACUAUAAUUUGAUGGCUACUUAUUCAUUACAUAUACUAAGGAAAAUCACUAGUCUCAAUCAAACUAAAUGUUCACAAUUCAUUUCCGGUUAAACUCAAUGUUUGCUAUUCAUUUCCUGUGAGAUUGCAAGAGGAACUGAUGUUUGAAGAUAGAAAGCGAUGUACAAAAGUGUUAAUAGCUCUUUAUAUCCAAGAACCCAGGAUUGUGAUCAAUGUAUGCACAUAUAAUCAAUAUUAAUGUUUAUUGAUAAAGAUAAACAAUAAAGCUCUUAGAUCACAUAAUGUUAGUGUCACCUUAUCAUUUGGUUGAGAUAAAUUGUUCAUAUAUUUUGGAUUUAGAUACCUUUCAACCAAGCCAACACAUAUCUUCUUUUUUUCCUUCGUUUCUUUUUAAAAGUGCUUCUUGUAUGUUUUCCAAGUACCGCUACAUGGUCGCUAAUUGUUAAGCAUUUGAAUAAAACCCACUUCUUGCUGGGUUGUUCAUGGAAUAUAAUACUUUCAUACAAUAGACCACCUAUGGGUUUGAUUCAGGAUAAGGUUACCUCAAGUUUCGGUGAAGGAUUAAGUAGUCGUUGUUCACUAAGGGUAUGAAUGCUGACAGGAACAUGGAGCAAAACCAUCACUUGUUUACUUCAUGGUUCUUGUUUAAGAAGUUCAAUGUCCGUGCUUAUGUGUAUAUACCUAAGCAUAGUAAGAUUUAGAAGUUCUCUAAUCCCACGUGCGUAUCUGAGGUGGGUAAUCUUUUUUCCACCAAUUUUCCAAUGUGGUAGAUUGGUGCCGGAUCUAAGCCAUCCCAUCAGGUGGGUCCCACCCACUGUUCAAUUAUAUCAUCCAAUUCGACUUAGUUUUGCCUGAAUUCUAUCAGCUUUGGUGGGCAAUUGAGUUAUUGGACUGAAACAGAAUCAGUCAGGGUGAGUUGUUCUAGCUUUGGUCUCUAGACGAGUUGCACUCUAGACCGUAAUCCAUGGUCCGACCAAAUGUUUUCAGUAUCGAUGAUAUCGGCCAAUAUAUCUUGUCUCCCACUUGUGUGAUAUGAAACACACAGGUAGUGCCGAUAUAUCCUACCCGUUUGAUCCGAUGAGCAUUUCUAAUUUUCAAUCCUUUUUUUUUUAAUUUUUUGUAAAUCAUGUUAAAUCAGGGUCAAAUGGUUACCAAUCUAUGAUUCCUCAUGUUUUGCAUGAAAAAAUCAUGGAUUUGAAACUUUGAUUUUGAUAAUUGGGAGAGAUGGGCCGACUUGUGGAAAAUUGGAAAAUUUUGAAAAAAAUUCAAGUUCUUGCAAAUUUGUUGCAAUCUUUGUGUCCUAACACAAAAUCAAACAUGUAUCUAACUUGAUCUAGUGAUUCCUGGUAAUAUAGGGAUUUUUUUCGGGAAAAAAAUAUUUUUAAUUAAAAAUGUUAAAAAAGUAUUUUUCAAAUUUCACUUUGAUUAGAGAUCAAUUGGCUCCCAUUUUAGAGUCUAGGAGUGUUUAAUGAAAUCAUCAUCACAUGCACUCUAAUUUUGGGAUUUGGGGGAAUAUGGGCCAAUUUGCGGAUUUUUUU
Molecule: long non-coding RNA, 4629 nt
Organism: Magnolia sinica
Lineage: Eukaryota; Viridiplantae; Streptophyta; Magnoliopsida; Magnoliales; Magnoliaceae
Exons: 2
Source: RefSeq, a predicted model, not a curated record